Alexandromys fortis (reed vole) is the source of this 531-nucleotide long non-coding RNA. RefSeq lists it as uncharacterized. NCBI's taxonomy places the organism in Eukaryota, Metazoa, Chordata, Mammalia, Rodentia, Cricetidae. The transcript has 2 exons. The record is from RefSeq and is a predicted model, not a curated record.
UAGAGGGUACCACUGUCCCAGGGGCUGCUACCUCCUCCAGCUUCUCUAUUCUUUUCCCUAAGGGCAUGGGCUAGGAAGCAAGGCUGCUCUGAGUUCCCUUCCUGCUACUCUGGCCUCAGGCAACAAACACUAAGGCUUUCUCAGAGCAUCUGUUUCUUGCUUUGCAGAACGGGAACAUGAGCCCUACCAGUCUAUCAUGAAAACUCACUGAGAUCUAAGUAGGGAGCCAUGGCUCUGGCCUGUCAUCUCAGCUGUUUGGGAGGCUGAAGCUGAAGUCUGACGGUGAAUUCAAGGUCAGCCUGGCUGAGCUGUGUCAGCACGGCACAAGAGGACGGGGCCGUUCCACAGGACGGCUUCAGCACGUACAGGGAUAACAACGGAUAAGCUGGCAGACACCUUGAAAUAUGGAGGUGUCGAACCCCUUCAACAAACUAAGGAUGCAAAAGGAGACUUUAACAUCCUUGCCCUCAGUCUGACGUGGUUUGCUUUUGGUUCUUUUUAUUUUUAAAUAUGUUUAUAUGCUUUUUGUCA